This 440-nucleotide long non-coding RNA is filed under the name Papio anubis (olive baboon). RNAcentral's name for it is "lncRNA (ENSPANG00000047120.1)". The record is from RNAcentral. Lineage: Eukaryota; Metazoa; Chordata; Mammalia; Primates; Cercopithecidae.
UCAUCAACAACUCACAUUGACACCUCAGAGAGCAAAAUUCUGGCAAUGGGUCAUCCUGUAAUGAAUAAGUAGUCAUUAAAAUUCUACUAUAUGGAAAGCAACGUGCCAGCUAUUUUGAAGCAUUCAAAGAAAGAAGCUUCAAGGGUCAGAUCUUGAUAUGGACCAGACACCGCCGAAUUCUCUCUCCAACAAAAGAUUACUUCAAUGCGGGAACCAACUCCCAGCUGAAGAUUGACUACAAGAUUGGCUAUGAUUGGCUGGGCACCGUGACUCACUCUUGUGAUCCCAGCACUUUGGGAGGUUGAGGGUUGUCUCCUAGAGAUGGAAGAGCUGUAAGCAGAGACAGAAAAAUAUGUUUUCACACAAACUCUUUGGCGCAUUCGCAGAUGGCAGCAAUGAGCCAAUAAAAUACAUUUUUCUCCUUUGAGUACUUUAUAUAC